Molecule: ribosomal RNA, 625 nt
Filed under: Chrysops silvifacies
Lineage: Eukaryota; Metazoa; Arthropoda; Insecta; Diptera; Tabanidae
Description: 12S ribosomal RNA
Source: RNAcentral
UUUUGUGCCAAGCCCACGCGGUUAUACAAAAAAUACAAAUAAAUUAUAUUAGAUGUAGUUAAAUUGUAAUAAAUUUGAAUUAAAAUUAAAUUUAUUAGGUGAAAUUUUAAAUUUAUAAUAAUUUAAUUUAAAAAAUAAUUGAAGCUAAAAAAUUUUAGUUAUAAACUAGGAUUAGAUACCCUAUUAUUUAAAAUGUAAAUAGAUAGUUUAGAGUAGUAAUAGUUAUGUUCUUGAAACUUAAAGAAUUUGGCGGUAUUUUAGUCUAUUCAGAGGAACUUGUUCUAUAAUCGAUAGUCCACGUUGGAUCUUACUUAAGUUUGUAAAUCAAUAUGUAUAUCGCCGUUAUCAGAAUAUUUUAUAAGAAUAAUAAUUUUCUAAAUUUUUAAUUUAAUAAUGAUGUCAGGUCAAGGUGCAGUUUAUGUUUAAGUAGAAAUGAGUUACAAUAAAAUUAUUUAAACGGAAAUAAAAUUGAAAUAUUUUAUAUAAGGUGGAUUUGAUAGUAAAAUUAUAAAGAUUAUUAGUUUGAUUAUAGCUCUAAAAUAUGUACACAUCGCCCGUCGCUCUUAUUAUUAAGAUAAGAUAAGUCGUAACAUAGUAGAUGUACUGGAAAGUGUAUCUAGAAUGA